Molecule: long non-coding RNA, 1119 nt
Filed under: Gossypium barbadense (sea-island cotton)
Lineage: Eukaryota; Viridiplantae; Streptophyta; Magnoliopsida; Malvales; Malvaceae
Description: long non-coding RNA (GBAR_LNC012765)
Source: RNAcentral
UGAGCACUGUGGUGUUUAUAGUGUUAGGAGUGGUUAUUGACUAUCGCUUGGCCCCCUCUAUUGUUUCCACUAUGGAGGUGCGAUUACGUUUACAAUUAUGGGGCCUUACUUGCCCUCCGUAAAUCAAGAUAGCAAUGUAGAAAUUCAUAAAGCAAUUUGUGCCUACUAGAGUGUGUCUCUCCAACAAAAGAAUUGCAAAUGAUGCUCAGUGCCCUAGAUGUCAUACGGUGACUGAGGAUGUGUCCCAUGUUCUACGACAUUGUGCUUUUGCAAGGACUGUCUAGGUUGCCCUUUGCUAUGAUCGCUCGCUGAACGAUGAUCAGUUGAGUUUUCCUGACUGGCUUGCUUGGAUGUUUGCCCAUUACCCUGUGUGUAAAAGAACCGAGAUCGUAGUGGUGCUAUGGGCUUUAUGGUUUUCGCGGAACAGCUUAGUGCAUGAGGGGGUUGUUCAAAGGGUGCGAAGUGAUUACCUUUAUUCGAGGAUACUAUUCUGAGAUCGCUGAAGUCGUUAGAGGCCUGGCCCAACCAUCCUAGCCCCAGAUUGUCCGCUGGCUCCGUCCUCCGCUGUCUUUUGUCAAGGUGAGCGUUGAUGCUAGUUUUUCAUUCUCCCUGUAAAAAGCCUAUUCGGGUGUUAUUAUCCGGGACGAGUAUGGUUAAAUAAUGGGCGCUUGUAGUCGACUUACCUCUUACGUUCCUACAAUGUUUAUAGCGGAGGCCCGAAUUGUUGUUCAUGGGCUACUUUCACUUCUGAAAUGGGAUUCCGGUCUGUCAUCAUAGAGAGCGAUGCUCGGGCAGUCAUCUGUAAGCUAAACGCUACCUCGGAGGACCUAUCGGAGAUCAGUGCCUUUAUCUGCGAAGCCACGGAGCAGGUGUGUCGGUUCACUUACCUUGCCAGAUCGGGAAAUUGGCUAUGCAUACAGUGGCUCAAGAGGGUAUAUCGCGGCGGGAGGAUGGAUUCUGGGUGGAGGAAGGCCCGGUGUUGGCUACCUUAGUUGCUGAUGAGGAAAAAAGAUUGAUCGAUCCUCCUUAAGCUUGAUUCUGAAAGGUCUAUUUGGGGGAAAUUCUGAGAUCUUUUGUCUCCCCUGUUUUGCUAACAAUUUUUUUAAAAAAGUCUAUAAA